ACCCGUGUAGCCCAAUAGGCAGAGGCACUUGAUUUAGGAUCAGGGUAGUGAAGGUUCGAGUCCUUUCAUGGGUA
Molecule: transfer RNA, 74 nt
Filed under: Microscilla marina ATCC 23134
Lineage: Bacteria; Pseudomonadati; Bacteroidota; Cytophagia; Cytophagales; Microscillaceae
Rfam family: tRNA
About the family: Transfer RNA (tRNA) molecules are approximately 80 nucleotides in length. Their secondary structure includes four short double-helical elements and three loops (D, anti-codon, and T loops).
Source: Rfam by way of RNAcentral